RNAcentral lists this ribosomal RNA (525 nucleotides) under Triticum aestivum (bread wheat). Its description in RNAcentral is "partial small subunit ribosomal RNA". Lineage: Eukaryota; Viridiplantae; Streptophyta; Magnoliopsida; Poales; Poaceae. The record is from RNAcentral.
CGGGAGGUGGCGCAGAUCCAGGGCCUCUGCGUGCAGAUGGACCGCCUGUGGCGCUCCAUCCCCGCCAAGGGCCAGCGCGACCUCUGGAAGAGAAAAGUGGAGCAGCUAUCUGAAGAGGUUGAUUCAUUGAAGGAAACCCUCAACAAGCACUCGUUGCGGCAAUGAAAGCGGAUUCUGGAAGCCAAGGAAAGGGCGGAGCUAUUUGAGAGAGAGAAUGGUGAGUCGUCACAUGUCCUUCAAAUAUUUGACGACGAAGCCCAGGCAAUGCAAUCGGCCCGUAGCUCCUCUCGAAUGCUUGACGAAGCCUUUGAGACAGGAGUGGCCAUCCUCCACAAGUAGUCUGACCAGAGGGAUCGUCUGAAGAGCGCGCAAAGGAAGGCUCUAGAUGUCCUGAACACCGUUGGCCUAUCAAACUCGGUCUUGAAGCUUAUUGAGAAGCGGCACCGGGUCGACAAGCGGAUCGCGUAUGGCGGCAUGAUCAUCACCGUCGUGCUGAUGGUUGCGUUUUGGCGAUGGACACACUAG